ACCGUGAACUCGUGAAAUGGCCG
RNAcentral lists this non-coding RNA (23 nucleotides) under Arabidopsis thaliana (thale cress). Lineage: Eukaryota; Viridiplantae; Streptophyta; Magnoliopsida; Brassicales; Brassicaceae. The record is from RNAcentral.